RNAcentral lists this ribosomal RNA (207 nucleotides) under uncultured bacterium. RNAcentral's name for it is "partial 16S ribosomal RNA". It matches the Rfam family "Bacterial small subunit ribosomal RNA", at positions 568 to 774 of the family's 1533-position model. The record is from RNAcentral.
CACGUAGGCGGAUUGUUAAGUCGGGGGUGAAAUCCUGAGGCUCAACCUCAGAACUGCCUUCGAUACUGGCGAUCUUGAGUCCGGAAGAGGUUGGUGGAACAGCUAGUGUAGAGGUGAAAUUCGUAGAUAUUAGCUAGAACACCAGUGGCGAAGGCGGCCAACUGGUCCGGAACUGACGCUGAGGUGCGAAAGCGUGGGGAGCAAACA